RNAcentral lists this long non-coding RNA (907 nucleotides) under Anas platyrhynchos platyrhynchos (common mallard). RNAcentral describes it as "lncRNA (ENSAPLG00000020449.1)". The record is from RNAcentral. Lineage: Eukaryota; Metazoa; Chordata; Aves; Anseriformes; Anatidae.
GGUGAUGUUACUUUGAUUUGCCAGCUGUAUUGACUCUCCUCCCAGUUUUUAACUAAAAUUGCCACAUUUUUCAGAGAGAAGGCAGCAAUGCUGAGCUUUGCCUUAAGGCAGCUGUUCCUAGUCAAGAUUUCAUGUUGUUCUGAAGCAGGCAUAGCCCUUUCUUCCCACAAUCCCACCGAGACCUCUGGAAAAACAGAAGACAAAAGGAGGGAAGUUGUUCUAAGGUUCAGUCCUUAAUAGCUAAAUUUAGUAUAGAUUUCGUCCUGGUCACCUCUCUUCCUAUCUGAGAACAGAACUCACAGCCUGUUGAAAUCAGCAGAGGUUCUUUCCUCUGGAUGCAGUGAACUCUGAGAGAAGAUUGUUUGCAUUUUAGUAGAAUUUUACUGCUCAGAAGAUAGUGAACUGGAAUCACCGCUUUCUGGGAGAAGUAUUUUUUUUUUUAAUCCCCUUCAAGACAAUGAUUACACUUUUCUCAGCUUUUACCAGUUCUUAAUGAAAUAUUAAUGUCUUGUGGACUUGAACAUUGCUGUCUCUAAUAACAUUUGUAAUACCUGACAGAAAUUAAUGAGGGUUUAGUUGCAUACAUCUAUAUCUCAGAGAAAAAUGAAAACAAGUCUUUGCUUGUAACACCACAGCCAUGAUAUUUCUCCCUCUCUCCCUCACCUUUUUAAAUUUUUUUGUUAAACUGUGAGUUAUAUUCAGUGGUGUUUAUUGACAUCCCAUUUUCUGCAUUCUAAGCCAUCUAAGCACUUGUGCAGAAAUCAUUACAGCUCUAAUACUUUGGGAGUGUGUAGAGCAACAUAGCCAGAUGACCAGCAUUGCAUCAGGCACUGAAGGGCACACCUAUGCAGUAAAUCCACUCUGAUGUGUAUAAUAAUGCCUUUCAAAAUGAUGACAAGCAUAUUUU